GACGAACGCUGGCGGCGUGCUUAACACAUGCAAGUCGAACGGAAAGGCCCUGCUUGCAGGGUACUCGAGUGGCGAACGGGUGAGUAACACGUGGGUGAUCUGCCCUGCACUUCGGGAUAAGCCUGGGAAACUGGGUCUAAUACCGGAUAGGAGCCAUUUUUAGUGUGAUGGUUGGAAAGUUUUUUCGGUGUAGGAUGAGCUCGCGGCCUAUCAGCUUGUUGGUGGGGUAAUGGCCUACCAAGGCGGCGACGGGUAGCCGGCCUGAGAGGGUGGACGGCCACAUUGGGACUGAGAUACGGCCCAGACGCCUACGGGAGGCAGCAGUGGGGAAUAUUGAACAAUGGGCGCAAGCCUGAUGCAGCGACGCCGCGGGGGGGAUGACGGCCUUCGGGUUGUAAACUCCUUUCGCUAGGGACGAAGCUUUUUGUGACGGUACCUAGAGAAGAAGCACCGGCUAACUACGUG
This 465-nucleotide ribosomal RNA is filed under the name uncultured bacterium. RNAcentral describes it as "partial 16S ribosomal RNA". It matches the Rfam family "Bacterial small subunit ribosomal RNA", at positions 28 to 507 of the family's 1533-position model. The record is from RNAcentral.